Stylophora pistillata is the source of this 754-nucleotide long non-coding RNA. The record is from RefSeq and is a predicted model, not a curated record. Lineage: Eukaryota; Metazoa; Cnidaria; Anthozoa; Scleractinia; Pocilloporidae.
CCUUAUUUUGAGAACUUUGAAAGUGGUUGACUUUUAAAAUAGCCUUGCGGUCACAAAGACCUUUUCGCCUUCAAAUUUCAGUUAUUUGUAAAAUCAGAGGCGUACAAUCUAAAAGGUAGAACUGGAGAAAAUGGACGGGAAACGAAGCGAGAGAAAAAUCGAAUCCACUUGGAAUUUGUCAUCUAAGAAAUCACAGUCAAGUAAAGUAAAGGAAAAAAUCAUUCGGGAAGAAUCUAAGAAAUUCGAAGGAUACAAGCUGUUCAACGAAGCCUUGGAUGCACAUGUCAAGAAGACCUCCGCUAGGAGUACAUAAUCUAAUAUAGACUGCCUGUUAUUUAAAAAUUUUUAUUCACUUCUGCACCAAACGUUAAACUAAAGAUUAGAAAAGAAAAAAAGUAUUUUUUUAAUCCUUGGUACAUAGAGUAAAACACUUAUAAAAUAGCUUGCACAUUUUUAUCGUUACAAUCCUUUUUCCGAGUGAGAAAUGUAAAAUGGACAUUUGACUUUUUUAGUAUAUGUUUUAUAUACCACUGGAUUUAUAGAAUUUUAUGCUAUCCUUAACAUACAGGAGAAACCAUAGAGAGGCAAGUUCGUCACUUCUUUUAAUUAUACUGUUGCCACAAAGCUGGUCUUUCGCUUAACUGCCAAGGCGGAAACAAUGCAAUGAUGCUUUGUUUAUGACUACCAACUAAACUAACAAGCUAACUGGGAGCUGGUCAUUUUGUUGAUUCGUAUUUACAUCAUAGGUUCAAGU